Molecule: ribosomal RNA, 776 nt
Filed under: uncultured Neocallimastigales
Lineage: Eukaryota; Fungi; Neocallimastigomycota; Neocallimastigomycetes; Neocallimastigales
Description: partial large subunit ribosomal RNA
Rfam family: Eukaryotic large subunit ribosomal RNA
Source: RNAcentral
UAUCUCUGUAGAGUCUGCAUAUCAAUAAGCGGAGGAAAAGAAACUAACAAGGAUUCCCCUAGUAACGGCGAGUGAAGCGGGAAGAGCUCAAAUUUGAAAUCUUAAAGGGUUUCCCUUUACGAAUUGUAGUUUAAAGAAGUGUUUUCUGUUGGAGUUUCGGUAAAAGUUCUUUGGAAUAGGACAUCAUAGAGGGUGAGAAUCCCGUAUUUGACCGUUACUUUCCAGCUGUGUGAUACACUUUCAAAGAGUCGGAUUGUUUGGGAAUGCAGUCCAAAAUGGGGUGGUAAAUUUCAUCUAAAGCUAAGUAUUGGCGAGAGACCGAUAGCGAACAAGUACCGUGAGGGAAAGAUGAAAAGAACUUUGAAAAGAGAGUUAAACAGUACGUGAAAUUGUCAAAAGGGAAGCGUUUGACACCAGUGUUGUUUUCUCGAAAAUCAAUUAAAAAAAGUUGGAUUUUGUAUUGUUAAGACCUUAUCAGCUUACUGUACUCUUUUCUUGCUUUUUUUAAUGCACUUUUCGUUUAACAAGUCAACAUCAAUUUCUUUUGUUGUAAAAGAGUCAUUGGAAGGUGGCUUUCACUUCGGUGAAAGUGUUUAUAGCCUUUGGCUUCUGCAAUCGGAGAGAUUGAGGUCUGCAGCGUAGAUCCUUCGGGGUUAGAUACACUUGUGCUAAGUUGUAGCUUUUCAUAGACAACUUGUUGACUAUGAUCAGUCAUGUAGCUUACUCGCUUAUGCUAUUUUACCUACGCUUAGGAUGUUGAAGAUGUAGCACAUCAU